GAUGAAGAACGCAGCGAAAUGCGAUAAGUAAUGUGAAUUGCAGAAUUCAGUGAAUCAUCGAAUCUUUGAACGCACCUUGCGCCCUUUGGCCAUUCCGAAGGGCAUGCCUGUUUGAGUAUCAUGAACACCUCAACUCUUCAUGGUUUUCCAUGAUGAGCUUGGACUUUGGGGGUCUUGCUGGCCUGUGGGUCGGCUCCUCUCAAAUGAAUCAGCUUGCCGGUUUUUGGUGGCAUCACAGGUGUGAUAACUAUCUACGCUUGUGGUUUUCCACCAGGGUAACCUUCAGCAGUGGAGGUUCACUGGAGCUUACAAAUGUCUCUCCUCUGUGAGGACAGCCCUUUGAAUGUUUGAUCUCAAAUCAGGUAGGACUACCCGCUGAACUUAAGCAUAUCAAUAAGCGGAGGA
RNAcentral lists this unclassified non-coding RNA (405 nucleotides) under soil metagenome. Its description in RNAcentral is "partial contains 5.8S ribosomal RNA, internal transcribed spacer 2, and large subunit ribosomal RNA". The stretch from base 1 to 121 matches the Rfam family "5.8S ribosomal RNA", at positions 35 to 154 of the family's 154-position model. The record is from RNAcentral.